This is a long non-coding RNA of Xenia sp. Carnegie-2017, 732 nucleotides long. RefSeq lists it as uncharacterized. Lineage: Eukaryota; Metazoa; Cnidaria; Anthozoa; Malacalcyonacea; Xeniidae. The transcript has 2 exons. The record is from RefSeq and is a predicted model, not a curated record.
AAAGCUUAAACAAUCUUUUGCCUUUGUCAGUGUCUAAAGAAUGUUUAGACACUGGAUAUACAACAGAUGAACUGGUAAAACAGGAGGCUAUUUUAAAUUGUAAUGACCAGAAAUGGUCAUCUUUUCUUUGUAUUUUGGGCCUAUCUUCUGUUUUAGGUAGAAAAAUUCAUACUUUUUAUCCUGAUUCUGGUGAAAGUAGAUAUAAAUUGUUAUUUAAUUAUAUUGUUCAGCCCCGGUUAUUAAGCCAAAGAGGUUUGGAUGCUAUUAAUAUUUUGUUUUGUCAUGAAGGAUCUGUACAACCAGGGAGAAAGUUAAGGGUAUGGAUAAUUCUGAAAUAUGUCAUUUGAUAAAAAAUGUAUAUAAACCAGAUAAAAAGUAUCAUUUUCCUAAAUCUAAUGGCAGAUCAUUUAGGCAUGAUUGGCUAGACCAGCAUGAAUGGCUUUGCUAUUCACCUUCACAAAAUGGUGCGUAUUGUCUAUCGUGUGUGUUGUUUGGCAAUAGAUUCCCAGGCAAGGCCAGUAAAGUAAAAAAAGUUGUUUACUGAACCUCUUCAAGAUUGGAAGAAUGCUAAAUGCUCUUUCACUCAACAUGCUGGAAAAAGUAAAGGGAGGGAAGUCGGUUUGCAUGCAUCCACAUCACCAAUUUUGAUGCUUUGCGUUCCCAAAUAUCAGGUACUCUGCAGCCUAUCGAGAUGAUCAUGGAUGCUGGUAUCAAGAAAGAAAUAGAACAGAA